AGUGAACGCUGGCGGUAGGCCUAACACAUGCAAGUCGAACGGCAGCACAGUAAGAGCUUGCUCUUACGGGUGGCGAGUGGCGGACGGGUCAGGAAUACAUCGGACUCUACUUUUUCGGGGGGGAUAACGUAAGGAAACUUACGCUAAUACCGCAUACGACCUACGGUUGAAAGCAGGGGAUCUUCGGACCCUGCGCGAUAGAAUGAGCCGAUGUCGGAUUAGCUAGUUGGCGGGGUAAAGGCCCACCAAGGCGACGAUCCGUAGCUGGUGUGAGAGGAUGAUCAGCCACACUGGAACUGAUACACGGUCCAGACUCCUACGGGAGGCAGCAGUGGGGAAUAUUGGACAAUGGGCGCAAGCCUGAUCCAGCCAUACCGCGUGGGUGAAGAAGGCCUUCGGGUUGUAAAGACCUUUUGUUGGGAAAGAAAAGCAGCAGGUUAAUACCCCGCUGUUCUGACGGUACCCAAAGAAUAAGCACCGGCUAACUUCGUG
Molecule: ribosomal RNA, 492 nt
Filed under: uncultured bacterium
Lineage: Bacteria
Description: partial 16S ribosomal RNA
Rfam family: Bacterial small subunit ribosomal RNA
Source: RNAcentral